Molecule: small RNA, 452 nt
Filed under: Hyphopichia burtonii
Lineage: Eukaryota; Fungi; Ascomycota; Pichiomycetes; Serinales; Debaryomycetaceae
Description: eukaryotic LSU rRNA
Rfam family: 5.8S ribosomal RNA (bases 113-266)
Source: RNAcentral
UCCGUAGGUGAACCUGCGGAAGGAUCAUUAAAAAUUUAAUUGUUUACACGUUUACGUUUAACAUAUACAACUAACCAACUUAAUUAUGUCAACAACAACAACCAAAAAUCAAAACUUUCAACAACGGAUCUCUUGGUUCUCGCAUCGAUGAAGAACGCAGCGAAAUGCGAUAAGUAAUAUGAAUUGCAGAUUUUCGUGAAUCAUCGAAUCUUUGAACGCACAUUGCACCUUGUGGUAUUCCACAAGGUAUGCCUGUUUGAGCGUCAUUUCUCCCUCAACCCCCGCGGGUUGGCGUUGAAUGGCACGAGCUCUUAGUCAGUCCAUUCGAAAAGUAUUUUUCUUGUGUUGUUAUUUUCUAAUUUAGUAGUGACAACCACACUAAAAACACAUUUUCCUCAAAUCAGGUAGGACUACCCGCUGAACUUAAGCAUAUCAAUAAGCGGAGGAAAAGA